RNAcentral lists this ribosomal RNA (449 nucleotides) under uncultured bacterium. RNAcentral describes it as "partial 16S ribosomal RNA". It matches the Rfam family "Bacterial small subunit ribosomal RNA", at positions 29 to 523 of the family's 1533-position model. The record is from RNAcentral.
AACGAACGCCGGCGGCAGGCUUAACACAUGCAAGUCGAACGAUGUAGCAAUACAUAGUGGCGCACGGGUGAGUAACGCGUGGGAAUAUACCUUAUAGUGGGGAAUAACUUUGGGAAACUAAAGCUAAUACCGCAUACGCCCGAGAGGGGAAAGAUUUAUCGCUAUAAGAUUAGCCCGCGUGAGAUUAGGUAGUUGGUGGGGUAAUGGCCUACCAAGCCUACGAUCUCUAGCUGGUCUGAGAGGAUGAUCAGCCACACUGGAACUGAGAUACGGUCCAGACUCCUACGGGAGGCAGCAGUGGGGAAUAUUGGGCAAUGGAGGAAACUUUGACUCAGCCAUGCCGCGUGAAUGAUGAAGGCCUUAGGGUUGUAAAGUUCUUUCGCCGAUGAAGAUAAUGACGGUAGUCGGAGAAGAAGCCCCGGCUAACUUCGUGCCAGCCGCCGCAGUAA